GCUGGGAGUGGUGGUGUGUGCCUGUAGUCCCAGCUACCAGGGAGGCUGAGAUGGGAGGAUUGCUUGAGCCCAGGAGGUCGAGGCUGCAGUGAGCAAUGAGUGUGCCACUGCACUUCAGCCUGGGUGACAGAGUGAGAUCCUGUCUCAA
This 148-nucleotide non-coding RNA is filed under the name Nomascus leucogenys (northern white-cheeked gibbon). The record is from Rfam by way of RNAcentral. Lineage: Eukaryota; Metazoa; Chordata; Mammalia; Primates; Hylobatidae.